This 497-nucleotide ribosomal RNA is filed under the name uncultured bacterium. RNAcentral's name for it is "partial 16S ribosomal RNA". It matches the Rfam family "Bacterial small subunit ribosomal RNA", at positions 28 to 507 of the family's 1533-position model. The record is from RNAcentral.
GAUGAACGCUGGCGGCGUGCCUAAUACAUGCAAGUCGAGCGAACAGACGAGGAGCUUGCUCCUCUGACGUUAGCGGCGGACGGGUGAGUAACACGUGGAUAACCUACCUAUAAGACUGGGAUAACUUCGGGAAACCGGAGCUAAUACCGGAUAAUAUAUUGAACCGCAUGGUUCAAUAGUGAAAGACGGUUUUGCUGUCACUUAUAGAUGGAUCCGCGCCGCAUUAGCUAGUUGGUAAGGUAACGGCUUACCAAGGCAACGAUGCGUAGCCGACCUGAGAGGGUGAUAGGCCACACUGGAACUGAGACACGGUCCAGACGACUACGGGAGGCAGCAGUAGGGAAUCUUACGCAAUGGGCGAAAGCCUGACGGAGCAACGCCGCGUGAGUGAUGAAGGUCUUCGGAUCGUAAAACUCUGUUAUUAGGGAAGAACAAAUGUGUAAGUAACUAUGCACGUCUUGACGGUACCUAAUCAGAAAGCCACGGCUAACUACGUG